This 235-nucleotide long non-coding RNA is filed under the name Manihot esculenta (cassava). Its description in RNAcentral is "long non-coding RNA (MESC_LNC008263)". Lineage: Eukaryota; Viridiplantae; Streptophyta; Magnoliopsida; Malpighiales; Euphorbiaceae. The record is from RNAcentral.
CACCAGCUGCUUCGAGAGACUAUCCAUAUGGAAGUCCAUACUCUGCAGCCCCACCACCACCCAAUCCAUACUAUUCAGCGGCACCGCCCAGUGGAUAUCCUUACGGUGGGUACAACGCGCCAUCUCCACCAGGACCUUACGGUCAACCAAGUUACGGUUACGGUCAGCAGCCCGUUUACGUGCAGGAGGAGAAGAAAAGCAAGUUUGGUGGGAUGGGGACAGGAGUGGCUGUGGG